UCCGGGGACGCGCCUCGGGGACCUGAGUCCAGCUGGGCGGAAGUUGUUCCCGUGCGUGCGCUUGGAACCUGGGCGAGAAUUAAGUUUGUGCUGUGGUCCUGCGUUUCCACGGUGUUUGCAUCCAUGUUUAGUAGGACCAGGGCUUUUUUUGUGGAAAUCGAUUUUGCUGGACGUAACCCCGUGUUGGGACUCCCUAGGGAAAUGGAGACGCCACGUGGUUAAGGACUUUGGGCUCCGCCGCCCACGUUGUGUGAGUGGCUGAAACACCGCAAGCGGUCUCCUGCCUUCCAGCCACAGCCGCACACUUUCCUACCUCUGCCGCACUUUCCCAACCUGACUUCCGAAUUUCUUGCUAUUUCAGCCGUCGGUAGCAGCAGCCAAUCAACGCCACCACUCUAGUCAGACAAUCUAAGGCGAAUUGAGUUGGAAAUCCAUCUGGUCCAUUCCCACUCCCACUUUACAGUUGGAGAUUUGUUCGGAUGUGAACAAGAAACUGACGAUUUUUGAAUGAUCCAAUCUGGCCAGCAGCAGGCGACUGCAGCCAAUUUCCUCCAGGAGAAACACCAGGUGACGUAGAAAGCUGCACCCAGCUGAGCUGAGCUGACCUCAGGCAUCUACCAGCUACCUCAGGUCUCCGCUUAUGGACCACAUCAACCCACAUCUGCUGUUACAACUUGCCUCCAAUUUCAGAGAAGCCUCCUGCGACUCCAAAUCACUCACCAGCUGCAACUCUUCCCACGCCACCUCCACAAACGUCUGGGAGUUUUCAAGGUCAAGUGCCUUAUUUAUUAUAGUAUUUAUAUGCUUCUUGACCAUAUAUGUAAUAUAUAUAAAACUGCAUUACUGUUUUUAUUAGGUUGCUAUCUUAAUCACUGAGGAAGUUUUUUCAUCUCAUUUUUGCCAUAAGUCCUGUGGUUUUUAUUGCAUGACUUCAUAUAGUGCAGAGGUCUUUAAGACCACAUUAUAGCAGAACUGGUUGUAUUUCUUGCAAAUUGGCAGUAAUCAGACUCGUUUCUCUCCCUUUGGUAACAUGUUCUUUCAACAGAAGGCUCUUAAUAUCUGGUUGUCUCUGUUUUGAGCAGUUAGCAGAUACCGAUGCAGCAAAUGUCUGGAUCCAUUAUUUCACUGGGGGCAGCAUAAUGGUGAUAUUCUAAUUCUGUUUUUUCCUUUUCAUUAUUAAUUGGAAUACUUUUAUAAUGAGAUGUUUCCCCUUAUCUACAAGUUGGUACAGUUGAUAUAGGAAAGGCAAGAUAAAUGCUUGAUUCUUUCCCUAUAUUUAUCAGUUUUCAAGAUGAUUAAUUUGUUUCCUAUCAUUUCCCCAAAUGUAAGCAAUUAGGCUUUAUUUUAUAAUGUAAUAUCAUAAACUCAUGGAUUUAAAAUAUUUGUUGGGUUUCAGUCAUCUGCAAUUACUACUCAAAUUACUCUAUCUUUGGCUGGUGAGAGCCUCUUAAAAUUGGCUCCUGAGGCCUUUGACAUGACCCUAGUAUAUCUUUUAUAGGGCUCUUGGCUGGCUGAUGAUAGCAUGACUACAUAUGGGGUUCCAGGCUCAUUUUGUAAUUUUCUGUCCUAGAACUGAAAUCUGCCGUUUUUCCCAAAAGCCUUGUUUCUUUAAGUGAGAAACGACAUUUCAAAACAACAAUCUAAAGCUAGGGAUGUAUAUCACUACUGGGUUGGUUGUUGUUUGUAGAGCAAUUCAGUGGAUGAAGCUAUAUAUAUAUAUAAAUAUGAUAUUUCUUGAGUUUAAAGUAUUUCGAAUUCAGGGCUAUGGGAUAUUGUACUUAUUAGCCUCUAUCAUAUUUCAUGUGUAUCUCCUUUAUUCCACAUUAAAAAUCAUGAUUCUUGGGGGCCGGCCUGGUGGCACAGCGGUCAAGUGCGCACGUUCCACUUCGGCAGCCCAAGGACUGCUUGUUUGGAUCCCAGGUGCGGACAUGGCACCGCUUGGCA
This is a long non-coding RNA of Equus quagga, 1944 nucleotides long. RefSeq lists it as uncharacterized. The transcript has 3 exons. NCBI's taxonomy places the organism in Eukaryota, Metazoa, Chordata, Mammalia, Perissodactyla, Equidae. The record is from RefSeq and is a predicted model, not a curated record.